AAAAUUAUAUAUAGUACCGUAGACAGUAGGAGCGGAAAGCUUAAUAUUUCCUACCGAGGAACUUAAAUUUUUAAGUCUUUCGGCCUUACUGUGUAAAUAGUAAGGCUUUUAU
This 112-nucleotide small RNA is filed under the name human gut metagenome. RNAcentral's name for it is "Ribosomal protein L10 leader". It matches the Rfam family "Ribosomal protein L10 leader". From Rfam's summary of the family: This family is a putative r-protein leader autoregulatory structure found in B. subtilis and other low-GC Gram-positive bacteria. It is located in the 5' untranslated regions of mRNAs encoding ribosomal proteins L10 and L12 (rplJ-rplL). The record is from RNAcentral. RNAcentral also lists the same sequence under 1 other name.